UCCGUAGGUGAACCUGCGGAAGGAUCAUUGUCGAAACCUGCGCAGCAGAACGACCCGCGAACGCGUUGUACACAACACCGGGGGCGGCGCGGGCGCAUCCUCGCGUCUCGCCGCCCUCAGCGCCUCGGGGCGAUCGGUCCGGCCGUCCCUUCGCCCGUCGGGCGGGGGAGACGCAGGGUCCGACCUAUCCGGGGCGAAACGAACAAACCCCGGCGCGAAUCGCGCCAAGGAAUCGAAACGAAAAGGGGGGCGCUUCUCCGGGCCACGCGCCGUUCGCGGUGCCGGAGCUCCGGGGGCGUCGUCCUCCCGUCGCGAAACGUACAGAACGACUCUCGGCAACGGAUAUCUCGGCUCUCGCAUCGAUGAAGAACGUAGCGAAAUGCGAUACUUGGUGUGAAUUGCAGAAUCCCGUGAACCAUCGAGUCUUUGAACGCAAGUUGCGCCCCAAGCCAUUAGGCCGAGGGCACGUCUGCCUGGGUGUCACGCAUCGUCGCCCCCCAACCUCGGUUGGACCGCGGGCGGAAAUUGGCCUCCCGUGCGCUCAUCGCCGGCGGUUGGCCUAAACACGAGUCCUCGGCGACGGCAUCGUCACGACGAUCGGUGGUGACGCCAUCGGCUGCCUCUUUCGGAGUCGUGCACGUUCGUCGAUCGAGACCCCGGACCCUUUCGGCACCGCGAGGGCGGUGCUCGCAUCGCGACCCCAGGUCAGGCGGGAACACCCGCUGAGUUUA
This 731-nucleotide ribosomal RNA is filed under the name Hampea mexicana. RNAcentral describes it as "eukaryotic LSU rRNA". The stretch from base 328 to 483 matches the Rfam family "5.8S ribosomal RNA". Lineage: Eukaryota; Viridiplantae; Streptophyta; Magnoliopsida; Malvales; Malvaceae. The record is from RNAcentral.